AGUGAACGCUGGCGGUAGGCCUAACACAUGCAAGUCGAACGGCAGCACAGUAAGAGCUUGCUCUUAUGGUGGCGAGUGGCGGACGGGUGAGGAAUACAUCGGAAUCUACUUUUUCGUGGGGGAUAACGGUAGGGAAACUUACGCUAAUACCGCAUACGACCUACGGGUGAAAGCAGGGAUCUUCGGACCUUGCGCGAUUG
This 200-nucleotide ribosomal RNA is filed under the name uncultured bacterium. RNAcentral describes it as "partial 16S ribosomal RNA". It matches the Rfam family "Bacterial small subunit ribosomal RNA", at positions 29 to 223 of the family's 1533-position model. The record is from RNAcentral.